Small nuclear RNA from Polypterus senegalus (gray bichir), 108 nucleotides. The record is from RefSeq and is a predicted model, not a curated record. Lineage: Eukaryota; Metazoa; Chordata; Cladistia; Polypteriformes; Polypteridae.
GUACUUGCUCAGGCAGUACAUCAACUAAAAUUGGAGCGAUACAGAGAAGAUUAGCAUGGCCCCUGCGCAAGGAUGACACGCAAAAUCGUGGAAGCGCCUCUUUUUCUU